This 748-nucleotide ribosomal RNA is filed under the name Ceratosolen brongersmai. Its description in RNAcentral is "SSU rRNA". It matches the Rfam family "Eukaryotic small subunit ribosomal RNA", at positions 506 to 1214 of the family's 1831-position model. The record is from RNAcentral. Lineage: Eukaryota; Metazoa; Arthropoda; Insecta; Hymenoptera; Agaonidae.
UAAUCGGAAUGAGUACACUUUAAAUCCUUUAACGAGUAUCCAUUGGAGGGCAAGUCUGGUGCCAGCAGCCGCGGUAAUUCCAGCUCCAAUAGCGUAUAUUAAAGUUGUUGCGGUUAAAAAGCUCGUAGUUGAAUCUGUGUGCCACGCUGUCGGUUCAUCGCUCGCGAUGUUUAACUAACAUGAUUGUGGUACGUCCUACCGGUGGGCUUAGCCUCUCGGGGCGGUCCAGCUUAAUAUCCCUCCGCGGUGCUCUUCAACGAGUGUCGCAGUGGGCCGGUACGUUUACUUUGAACAAAUUAGAGUGCUCAAAGCAGGCUAUGUUCGCCUGAAUACUGUGUGCAUGGAAUAAUGGAAUAGGACCUCGGUUCUAUUUUGUUGGUUUUCGGAACCCCGAGGUAAUGAUUAAUAGGGACAGAUGGGGGCAUUCGUAUUGCGACGUUAGAGGUGAAAUUCUUGGAUCGUCGCAAGACGGACAGAAGCGAAAGCAUUUGCCAAAAAUGUUUUCAUUAAUCAAGAACGAAAGUUAGAGGUUCGAAGGCGAUCAGAUACCGCCCUAGUUCUAACCAUAAACGAUGCCAGCUAGCGAUCCGCCGAAGUUCCUCCGAUGACUCGGCGGGCAGCUUCCGGGAAACCAAAGCUUUUGGGUUCCGGGGGAAGUAUGGUUGCAAAGCUGAAACUUAAAGGAAUUGACGGAAGGGCACCACCAGGAGUGGAGCCUGCGGCUUAAUUUGACUCAACACGGGAAACC